UAAAAAUUUAUUCAUCAUAUAUAAAUAAAUAGAUAUUUGUGUUGAAUGGAUAAAAUAAAAAAGGACAAAUUUAAAUGCGAUUCGUGUAAUCGAGAAUCAUUGGAUGCGUCCCUGAGACGAAGAGAAUGGGAUGAGGAAGGGAGUAAGCAGCCUCCGCACUUCGAAGAAGCUCGGUCCAGAACUAAUCGUCAAAAUAUAUAGUAAGCGUUAGGAUGAGGGUAGAAAGGCCGCCCGGGUGAAACACCUGCUCGAUUUGACAAGAUACCCACCGUAGCCUCCUCCUGCACAACAAUAAUAACACAAGAGAUGAAGAAGAAGAAGAAGAGGAAGAAGAAGAAGAAGAAGAAGAAGAAGAAGAAGGAGAUGAAGAAGAAGAAGAAGAACGGAUGCUGGGCUAUACUGGGUAACGCAGAAAGAUUAUUGCAAGACGUAGAACGCUGCGAGCGAUGCUGCCGCUACGAGAGCAAGCUGCAGCUUUAGAGAUGAUCCAGUCUACCGGAGAUACGAUUAUAAGGAAGAAAAAUUUGUGACUUUACGUUAACAUUGAAGCUUCGAGUUUCAUCCGUGGGUUUUAUCUUAAUUGGACGAUAUCAGAGCUCUUUUGAUUCUUUUAUACAAACUAAACGAACGUCGAUAUGACAUGAAAGAUGAAGAAGGAGAAGAAGAAGAAAAAAAAAAAAGGAGAAAAAAAAAGAAAAGAAAAGAAAAAUAACUGGUAAUUUGAUCUAAAGAAAAAUUUAAUUAACUCAAAACGGACGUAGAAAGAGAAUGUUGUUAAUGGAAAUCGAUGCAGGUGAAAGUUAAUUGUAAUGUGCACGCGGCCGUGAUUUAUGGCAGUGCUGAUGGAUCUGCCAGCGGACAAACGACUCGAUCUUAAGAGGAAAACGGAAUCUCGGGGGCGACCACUUGAUCUAUAGUUUCGUGCCUGAGUAUACUUUUUGGUACGAACAAAUCUAUUUGGGAUUUCUUUGCGUGCGACCGACGAAAUUCGUGAUCUCUAGACGAAAUACAAUUCGAGUAUUUAUUCGUCUAUUAGAUGUCUCUCAGAGUGAUAUAUAUAUAUAUAU
Molecule: long non-coding RNA, 1067 nt
Organism: Vespa crabro (European hornet)
Lineage: Eukaryota; Metazoa; Arthropoda; Insecta; Hymenoptera; Vespidae
Exons: 3
Source: RefSeq, a predicted model, not a curated record